This 604-nucleotide ribosomal RNA is filed under the name uncultured fungus. Its description in RNAcentral is "eukaryotic LSU rRNA". It matches the Rfam family "Eukaryotic large subunit ribosomal RNA", at positions 23 to 641 of the family's 3401-position model. The record is from RNAcentral. Lineage: Eukaryota; Fungi.
ACCCGCUGAACUUAAGCAUAUCAAUAAGCGGAGGAAAAGAAACCAACAGGGAUUGCCCUAGUAACGGCGAGUGAAGCGGCAACAGCUCAAAUUUGAAAUCUGGCUCUUUCAGGGUCCGAGUUGUAAUUUGCAGAGGGUGCUUUGGCGUUGGCUGUGGUCUAAGUUCCUUGGAACAGGACGUCGCAGAGGGUGAGAAUCCCGUAUGUGGCCGCCAGCCUUCGCCGUGUAAAGCCCCUUCGACGAGUCGAGUUGUUUGGGAAUGCAGCUCUAAAUGGGAGGUAAUUUUCUUCUAAAAGCUAAUACUGGCCAGAGACCGAUAGCGCACAAGUAGAGUGAUCGAAAGAUGAAAAGCACUUUUGAAAGAGAGUCAAAAAGCACGUGAAAUUGUUGAAAGGGAAGCGCUUGCAGCCAGACUUGCCUGUAGUUGCUCAUCCGGACUCUUGUCCGGUGCACUCUUCUACGGGCAGGCCAGCAUCAGUCCGAGGGGUUGGAUAAAUGUUCGCUGAAUGUACCUCUCUUCGGGGAGGACUUAUAGCAGUGGGCGGCAUACAACCAGCUUGGACUGAGGUCCGCGCAUCUGCUAGGAUGCUGGCGUAAUGGCUGU